Molecule: ribosomal RNA, 639 nt
Filed under: uncultured bacterium
Lineage: Bacteria
Description: bacterial SSU rRNA
Rfam family: Bacterial small subunit ribosomal RNA
Source: RNAcentral
CGCGGCCUAUCAGCUUGUUGGUGGGGUAAUGGCCCACCAAGGCUCAGACGGGUAGCUGGUCUGAGAGGACGAUCAGCCACACUGGGACUAAGACACGGCCCAGACUCUUACGGGAGGCAGCAGUGGGGAAUCUUGCGCAAUGGGCGAAAGCCUGACGCAGCAACGCCGCGUGGGGGAUGACGGCUUUCGGGUUGUAAACCGCUUUCAGCAGGGACGAAAAUGACGGUACCUGCAGAAGAAGUCCCGGCUAACUACGUGCCAGCAGCCGCGGUAAUACGUAGGGGACAAGCGUUGUCCGGAUUCAUUGGGCGUAAAGAGCUCGUAGGCGGUUCAGUAAGUUGGGUGUGAAAGCUCCGGGCUCAACCCGGAGAGGCCACUCAAUACUGCUGUGACUAGAGUCCAGUAGAGGAGCGUGGAACUCCUGGUGUAGCGGUGAAAUGCGCAGAUAUCAGGAAGAACACCGGCAGCGAAGGCGGCGCUCUGGGCUGGUACUGACGCUGAGGAGCGAAAGCAUGGGUAGCAAACAGGAUUAGAUACCCUGGUAGUCCAUGCCGUAAACGUUGGGCACUAGGUGUGGGGAGGAGUCAACCCUUUCCGUGCCGUAGCAAACGCAUUAAGUGCCCCGCCUGGGGAGUACGG